GAUGAACGCUAGCGGCAGGCCUAAUACAUGCAAGUCGAACGGUAAGGCCCUUUCGGGGGUACACGAGUGGCGGACGGGUGCGUAACGCGUAUGCAACAUGCCUUCCAGCGGGGGAGUAUACCAGGGAAACGUUGGCGCAAUACCCCACUAGAAUUACGGGACCGCAUGGUCUUGUGAUUAAAACUACCGGUGCUGGGAGAUUGGCAUGCGUGACAUUAGCUAGUUGGCGGGGUAACGGCCCACCAAGGCGACGAUGUCUAGCUGGUCUGAGAGGAUGAUCAGCCACACUGGGACUGAGACACGGCCCAGACUCCUACGGGAGGCAGCAGUAGGGAAUAUUGGACAAGUGGGGGGGAACCCUGAUCCAGCCAUG
This 373-nucleotide ribosomal RNA is filed under the name uncultured bacterium. RNAcentral's name for it is "bacterial SSU rRNA". It matches the Rfam family "Bacterial small subunit ribosomal RNA", at positions 28 to 396 of the family's 1533-position model. The record is from RNAcentral.